CAGGAUGAACGCUAGCUACAGGCUUAACACAUGCAAGUCGAGGGGCAGCAUUGGAGUAGCAAUACUCAGAUGGCGACCGGCGCACGGGUGAGUAACACGUAUCCAACCUGCCGCCUACUCGGGGAUAGCCUUUCGAAAGAAAGAUUAAUACCCGAUGGUAUAAAGAGUUCGCAUGUUCUCUUUAUUAAAGAAUUUCGGUAAGCGAUGGGGAUGCGUUCCAUUAGAUAGUUGGCGGGGUAACGGCCCACCAAGUCUACGAUGGAUAGGGGUUCUGAGAGGAAGGUCCCCCACAUUGGAACUGAGACACGGUCCAAACUCCUACGGGAGGCAGCAGUGAGGAAUAUUGGUCAAUGGACGAGAGUCUGAACCAGCCAAAAGUAGCGUGAAGGAUGACUGCCCUAUGGGUUGUAAACUUCUUUUAUAAGGGAAUAAAGUGAGGGACGUGUCCCUUUUUGUAUGUACCUUAUGAAUAAGGAUCGGCUAACUCCGUGCCAGCCGCGGC
Molecule: ribosomal RNA, 502 nt
Filed under: uncultured bacterium
Lineage: Bacteria
Description: bacterial SSU rRNA
Rfam family: Bacterial small subunit ribosomal RNA
Source: RNAcentral